Small nuclear RNA from Heteronotia binoei (common prickly gecko), 104 nucleotides. The record is from RefSeq and is a predicted model, not a curated record. Lineage: Eukaryota; Metazoa; Chordata; Lepidosauria; Squamata; Gekkonidae.
GUGCUCGCUUUGGCAGCACAUAUACUAAAAUUGGAACCAUACAGAGAUUAGCAUGGCCCCUGUGCAAGGAAGACACACAAAAAUACACAGUGAACUAUGGGUCC